UACGUAGGGUGCGAGCGUUGUCCGGAAUUAUUGGGCGUAAAGAGCUCGUAGGCGGCCUGUCGCGUCGGAUGUGAAAGCCCGGGGCUUAACCCCGGGUCUGCAUUCGAUACGGGCAGGCUAGAGUGUGGUAGGGGAGAUCGAAUUCCUGGUGUAGCGGUGAAAUGCGCAGAUAUCAGGAGGAACACCGGUGGCGAAGGCGGAUCUCUGGGCCAUUACUGACGCUGAGGAGCGAAAGCGUGGGGAGCGAACAGG
This 252-nucleotide ribosomal RNA is filed under the name uncultured bacterium. Its description in RNAcentral is "partial 16S ribosomal RNA". It matches the Rfam family "Bacterial small subunit ribosomal RNA", at positions 524 to 776 of the family's 1533-position model. The record is from RNAcentral.